AACUAAAUAAAUUUUAAUAGAAGGACAAGAAGGAAAAAAAGGGACUGAAAAAGAGAAAAGCCCUAAAGACAAAACUGUGGAAGAUGUCUUUCCAAAGACAACAAAUGUAGAAGAAGGACAAGAGGGGAAAAAAGAGCCUGAAAAGGAGAAAAUCCCUAAAGAGAAAACAGUGGAAGAUGAGUCUACAAAGACAACAGAUCCGAAAGCACAAAUUGCACCUGAUUUUGUUCAAAUUGAGGAUGAAACUUAUCUUCUAGAUCAAGAUGAUGAUAAAGUUUCCACAAAACUUAGUGAGGAGACAGCUCCAUCAUCACAAAAAAGUGAU
This is a long non-coding RNA of Chenopodium quinoa (quinoa), 325 nucleotides long. RefSeq lists it as uncharacterized. The record is from RefSeq and is a predicted model, not a curated record. Lineage: Eukaryota; Viridiplantae; Streptophyta; Magnoliopsida; Caryophyllales; Amaranthaceae. The transcript has 3 exons.